Long non-coding RNA from Bicyclus anynana (squinting bush brown), 868 nucleotides. RefSeq lists it as uncharacterized. The transcript is spliced from 8 exons. Lineage: Eukaryota; Metazoa; Arthropoda; Insecta; Lepidoptera; Nymphalidae. The record is from RefSeq and is a predicted model, not a curated record.
UCAUGGUGGAGGGAGUGGUGUGACUGAAAAAAUAAUUUCACAUUUUACGUUAUUUAUUAUUUAUUUGUAAUUUGAAACUGCAUUACAUGCGAUUGAAUUUGAAACUACAGCUCAACAAAAUAGGAAUACAUCUUAAAUUAUGGAGGAAAAGAAAGCAGCCCAGAAAAAUUACAAAAUUUAUAAUUUGCAACAAAAACCAAAGAAAAGGAAGGUGGGAUUGGAAGCAAUUUAUCCAGACAGGAUAAAUUAGAAGAAUACAUAAUUUAGAUCAAGAAAAAGGAAGAAGGGACUUUUAAGCAAGUUAUCCAGACAGGAUAAAUUACAAGAAAACAUAAUUUAGAUCAAGAAAAAGGAAGGUGGGACUGUUAAGCAAUUUAUCCAGACAGGAUAAAUUACAAGGAUACAUAAUUUAGAUCAAGAAAAAGGAAGGUGGGACUGUUAAGCAACUUAUCCAGACAGGAUAAAUUACAAGAAUACAUAAUUUAGAUUAAGAAAAAGGAAAAACGGACUUUUAAGCAAGUUAUCCAGACAGGAUAAAUUACAAGAAAACAUAAUUUAGAUCAAGAAGAAAGAAAAAGGGACUUUUAAGCAAGUUUUCUGGUCAGGAUGUAUUACAAGCAAACACAAUUUAGUUCAAAGUAAGAUAUUAUUGAGUAUGCUGCAAAGAAUCGUGUCACUUCAUCCCCAACUGAUGCUGGACCUUCCAAGAACCAACUUGUAGGCACAGAAAACAUAAUAUGUAGUUAGGUGUUAUUGAUGUGGUAUUGUAGUCAAUGUCAUGUAAUGUAUUUAUCUAGUACUAUUAUUAUUAAUUUUGCUAGUAUAAAAGUUGUAACUAUAAUUUUAUUAAUAUAUUUGUUAAUAUUGU